UCCUCUUUACAGAGGCAGUUUGUUCCGAGUCCCCGACAUUACUCGCUGGUAACAGAACAUGAGGGUUGCGCUCGUUGCGGGACUUAACCCAACAUUUCACAACACGAGCUGACGACAGCCAUGCACCACCUGCGCUCCACCCUCGAAGGCGACCACUUUUCGGCGGCUUGCAGGAACAUGUCAAGCCCUGGUAAGGUUCUUCGCGUUGCAUCGAAUUAAGCCAUAUGCUCCACCGCUUGUGCGGGCCCCCGCCAAUUCCUUUGAGUUUUAAUCUAGCGAUCGUAGUUCCCAGGCGGUUCACUUAAUGCGUUAGCUGCGGCACCGAGCACCCAUCGUUUACAGCGUGGACUAC
Molecule: unclassified non-coding RNA, 352 nt
Filed under: uncultured bacterium
Lineage: Bacteria
Description: contains 16S-23S intergenic spacer region
Source: RNAcentral